GUACACAAAAAUGCACAUGCUGUGAGCUCGAUGAGUAGGGCGGGACACGUGGUAUCCUGUCUGAAUAUGGGGGGACCAUCCUCCAAGGCUAAAUACUCCUGACUGACCGAUAGUGAACCAGUACCGUGAGGGAAAGGCGAAAAGAACCCCGGCGAGGGGAGUGAAAAAGAACCUGAAACCGUGUACGUACAAGCAGUGGGAGCACGCUUAGGCGUGUGACUGCGUACCUUUUGUAUAAUGGGUCAGCGACUUAUAUUCUGUAGCAAGGUUAACCGAAUAGGGGAGCCGAAGGGAAACCGAGUCUUAACUGGGCGUUAAGUUGCAGGGUAUAGACCCGAAACCCGGUGAUCUAGCCAUGGGCAGGUUGAAGGUUGGGUAACACUAACUGGAGGACCGAACCGACUAAUGUUGAAAAAUUAGCGGAUGACUUGUGGCUGGGGGUGAAAGGCCAAUCAAACCGGGAGAUAGCUGGUUCUCCCCGAAAGCUAUUUAGGUAGCGCCUCGUGAAUUCAUCUCCGGGGGUAGAGCACUGUUUCGGCAAGGGGGUCAUCCCGACUUACCAACCCGAUGCAAACUGCGAAUACCGGAGAAUGUUAUCACGGGAGACACACGGCGGGUGCUAACGUCCGUCGUGAAGAGGGAAACAACCCAGACCGCCAGCUAAGGUCCCAAAGUCAUGGUUAAGUGGGAAACGAUGUGGGAAGGCCCAGACAGCCAGGAUGUUGGCUUAGAAGCAGCCAUCAUUUAAAGAAAGCGUAAUAGCUCACUGGUCGAGUCGGCCUGCGCGGAAGAUGUAACGGGGCUAAACCAUGCACCGAAGCUGCGGCAGCGACGCUUAUGCGUUGUUGGGUAGGGGAGCGUUCUGUAAGCCUGCGAAGGUGUGCUGUGAGGCAUGCUGGAGGUAUCAGAAGUGCGAAUGCUGACAUAAGUAACGAUAAAGCGGGUGAAAAGCCCGCUCGCCGGAAGACCAAGGGUUCCUGUCCAACGUUAAUCGGGGCAGGGUGAGUCGACCCCUAAGGCGAGGCCGAAAGGCGUAGUCGAUGGGAAACAGGUUAAUAUUCCUGUACUUGGUGUUACUGCGAAGGGGGGACGGAGAAGGCUAUGUUGGCCGGGCGACGGUUGUCCCGGUUUAAGCGUGUAGGCUGGUUUUCCAGGCAAAUCCGGAAAAUCAAGGCUGAGGCGUGAUGACGAGGCACUACGGUGCUGAAGCAACAAAUGCCCUGCUUCCAGGAAAAGCCUCUAAGCAUCAGGUAACAUCAAAUCGUACCCCAAACCGACACAGGUGGUCAGGUAGAGAAUACCAAGGCGCUUGAGAGAACUCGGGUGAAGGAACUAGGCAAAAUGGUGCCGUAACUUCGGGAGAAGG
This 1366-nucleotide ribosomal RNA is filed under the name Escherichia coli. Its description in RNAcentral is "partial 23S ribosomal RNA". It matches the Rfam family "Bacterial large subunit ribosomal RNA", at positions 375 to 1746 of the family's 2925-position model. The record is from RNAcentral. Lineage: Bacteria; Pseudomonadati; Pseudomonadota; Gammaproteobacteria; Enterobacterales; Enterobacteriaceae.